Molecule: ribosomal RNA, 459 nt
Filed under: uncultured bacterium
Lineage: Bacteria
Description: partial 16S ribosomal RNA
Rfam family: Bacterial small subunit ribosomal RNA
Source: RNAcentral
CCUACGGGUGGCAGCAGUGAGGAAUAUUGGUCAAUGGGCGGGAGCCUGAACCAGCCAAGCCGCGUGAGGGAAGAAGGUACAGCGUAUCGUAAACCUCUUUUGUCAGGGAACAAAGGCGGGGACUAGUCCCCGUAUGAGGGUACCUGAAGAAAAAGCAUCGGCUAACUCCGUGCCAGCAGCCGCGGUAAUACGGAGGAUGCGAGCGUUAUCCGGAUUUAUUGGGUUUAAAGGGUGCGCAGGCGGCCUGUUAAGUCAGCGGUAAAAGCCCGGGGCUCAACCGCGCCGAGCCGUUGAAACUGGCGAGCUGGAGUUGGAUAGAGGUACGCGGAAUGCGCGGUGUAGCGGUGAAAUGCGUAGAUAUCGCGCAGAACCCCGAUUGCGAAGGCAGCGUACCGGCUCCACACUGACGCUGAGGCACGAAAGCGUGGGUAUCGAACAGGAUUAGAUACCCCUGUAGUC